UGGCCUUUUGAGAAUAAUUUAAGGUCCGGCCUGCCCAAUGAUUUUUAAAUGGCCGCGGUACUCUGACCGUGCAAAGGUAGCAUAAUCAUUAGUUUUUUAAUUGAAAGCUGGUAUGAAAGGUCAGAUGAGAAAAUAACUGUCUCUGCUUAAAUUUAAUAGAAUUUUAUUUUUAAGUAAAAAAGCUUAAAUGUGUAUAAAAGACGAGAAGACCCUAUAGAGUUUUAUAGUUUUAUUAUUUGGAGUUUUUAGAAUUAUAAUGUUUAAAUAAUAAAAUUAUUUAGUUGGGGCGAUUGAAAAAUUAAAUGAACUUUUUUUUUAUUAAAACAUUGAUUUAUGAAUAUUUGAUCCUUAUAUGAAGAUUAGAAGAUAAAAUUACCUUAGGGAUAACAGCGUAAUUUUUUUUGAGAGUCCAAAUCGAAAAAAAAGAUUGCGACCUCGAUGUUGGAUUAAAAUUAAUUUUUGGUGUAGGGGCUAAAAAAUUAGGUCUGUUCGACCUUUAAAAUUUUACAUGAUCUGAGUUUAAACCGGCGUGAGCCAGG
Molecule: ribosomal RNA, 539 nt
Filed under: Larinus onopordi
Lineage: Eukaryota; Metazoa; Arthropoda; Insecta; Coleoptera; Curculionidae
Description: partial large subunit ribosomal RNA
Rfam family: Bacterial large subunit ribosomal RNA
Source: RNAcentral